GAUGAACGCUGGCGGCGUGCCUAAUACAUGCAAGUCGAGCGAACGGACGAGAAGCUUGCUUUUCUGAUGUUAGCGGCGGACGGGUGAGUAACACGUGGAUAACCUACCUAUAAGACUGGGAUAACUUCGGGAAACCGGAGCUAAUACCGGAUAAUAUUUUGAACCGCAUGGUUCAAAAGUGAAAGACGGUCUUGCUGUCACUUAUAGAUGGAUCCGCGCUUCAUUAGCUAGUUGGUAAGGUAACGGCUUACCAAGGCAACGAUGCAUAGCCGACCUGAGAGGGUGAUCGGCCACACUGGAACUGAGACACGGUCCAGACUCCUACGGGAGGCAGCAGUAGGGAAUCUUCCGCAAUGGGCGAAAGCCUGACGGAGCAACGCCGCGUGAGUGAUGAGGGUCUUCGGAUCGUAAAACUCUGUUAUUAGGGAAGAACAUAUGUGUAAGUAACUGUGCACAUCUUGACGGUACCUAAUCAGAAAGCCACGGCUAACUACGUA
This 497-nucleotide ribosomal RNA is filed under the name uncultured bacterium. RNAcentral's name for it is "partial 16S ribosomal RNA". It matches the Rfam family "Bacterial small subunit ribosomal RNA", at positions 28 to 507 of the family's 1533-position model. The record is from RNAcentral.